Molecule: transfer RNA, 63 nt
Filed under: Hilethera xinjiangensis
Lineage: Eukaryota; Metazoa; Arthropoda; Insecta; Orthoptera; Acrididae
Description: tRNA-Pro
Source: RNAcentral
CAAGGGUUAGUUUAUUAAAAUAUUGAUUUUGGGGAUCAGUGAUAGAAAAUUUUCUACCCUUGA